CUCGUGAGGGUGGGGCUGAAGGAAGCGUGUAUCAAACUCUUGGCUCGACGAAUAGAAAUCUGAUACGAAGGCUCGACAAGCGGAUGAGGCUCCUAGACAAGCUAAAGUCCUAAAGAUGUGCGUAACCUUGUCGGGUAAAUCAGGCGAGUAAAAGAGGAAAGAUAGUG
Molecule: non-coding RNA, 167 nt
Filed under: Enterococcus pallens
Lineage: Bacteria; Bacillati; Bacillota; Bacilli; Lactobacillales; Enterococcaceae
Source: RNAcentral